ACACCCUCAACCUUCUUGGUUUAUCGACCGGGAAGGCUUGGACUUUGGAGGUUUUUGUUGCUGGCCUCGUUUGAAGCCAGCUCCUCCUAAACGAAUUAGUGGGGUCCGCCGUGCCGACCCUCGACGUGAUAAGUACGCUUCUACGUCUUGGGGUUUCGCACUGUCGCCUGCUUCCAACCGUCUUCGAAUGAAGACAAUCUUAUAGA
This 206-nucleotide unclassified non-coding RNA is filed under the name uncultured Russula. Its description in RNAcentral is "sequence contains ITS2". The record is from RNAcentral. Lineage: Eukaryota; Fungi; Basidiomycota; Agaricomycetes; Russulales; Russulaceae.